RNAcentral lists this ribosomal RNA (462 nucleotides) under uncultured bacterium. RNAcentral describes it as "partial 16S ribosomal RNA". It matches the Rfam family "Bacterial small subunit ribosomal RNA", at positions 28 to 507 of the family's 1533-position model. The record is from RNAcentral.
GACGAACGCUGGCGGCGUGCUUAACACAUGCAAGUCGAACGGUGAAGCCCUUCGGGGUGGAUCAGUGGCGAACGGGUGAGUAACACGUGAGCAACCUGCCCCUGGCUCUGGGACAACCACUGGAAACGGUGGCUAAUACCGGAUACGACCCGCCUCGGCAUCGAGUGUGGGUGGAAAGUUUUUCGGCUGGGGAUGGGCUCGCGGCCUAUCAGCUUGUUGGUGAGGUGAAGGCUCACCAAGGCGACGACGGGUAGCCGGCCUGAGAGGGCGACCGGCCACACUGGGACUGAGACACGGCCCAGACUCCUACGGGAGGCAGCAGUGGGGAAUAUUGCAUAAUGGGCGAAAGCCUGAUGCAGCGACGCCGCGUGAGGGAUGACGGCCUUCGGGUUGUAAACCUCUUUCAGCUCCGAAGAAGCGAAAGUGACGGUAGGAGCAGAAGAAGCACCGGCUAACUACGUG